RNAcentral lists this long non-coding RNA (360 nucleotides) under Homo sapiens (human). RNAcentral describes it as "non-protein coding lnc-SGCE-1:2". The record is from RNAcentral. Lineage: Eukaryota; Metazoa; Chordata; Mammalia; Primates; Hominidae.
CUCUCUAUAGCCCAACCUCCAGGAUUUCAGCACUUCGUGGACAUGGAGGCUGACGAUGGAAAAUAAAAACAACAAGCAAGUGAAACUCCCUGACUUAUCAACCUUACUCAAGAACUAUGCUCCUGUUUAGGUAUGCAGACCUGACUUCUUGACUGCAGAUCCCCCAAAACCAGAAUUGGGUGCUCUGAACAUGCUCAAGAGAAAGUCAAAUUUGAAACCCAUUGUGUUAAAACCUGUUGUAAGGAAAAAAAAAAAAAAAACUACAAAGAACUGUAUUUUGUCAUCGUAAUUACAGAGAUGUAGAAAAACGUGUUUUCUACAAGAUGCAAAAAUAUGUGAGACCUCUUUAUAACACAUGGU